Long non-coding RNA from Vulpes vulpes (red fox), 1199 nucleotides. NCBI's taxonomy places the organism in Eukaryota, Metazoa, Chordata, Mammalia, Carnivora, Canidae. The record is from Ensembl.
CCUCCAAGUGAGUUAUAUAUCAUUAUCAAAAUGAAAAGAUAUAAAAGUAAUGCUUACACUUAAAAUGAGCAUAGAGGGCUUAUUAGUGUCCUAAACUGGGUGGUGUGAAACAACAAAAAUCUAUUGCCUCUGUAGUUCUGGGGACUAGAAGUCUGAAAUCAAGGUGUUCAGAGUCACAGCACCUCUGAAACCCAUAGGGGAAGCCUUCCUUGCCUCUUCCUAGUGUGUGGCCAUCUUUGGCUUUCCUUGGCUUGUAGCUGCCAAAUCUCUGCCUCUGCCAUUAUGUGGUGCUCUCCCUGUGUCUUCAUAGUCAUCGUCUUAUAAACCAUACUGGAUUUGGACCCACCCCACCCCAUUAUGACUUCAUUGGAACUUAAUUACAUAUCUAAUAACCAUGUUUCCAAGCCUUGUGCUGGACACCAGGGUUGCAAAGAUCAAUAGACCCUAUUGUUGAUGAAUUCAGAUUUCAUAAAGGGAAGAGACAAGUAAACAAAUACUUAAAAUAUCCUGUGGAAUGUGCACUUAGAGAUUUAUUCAAGGGUGGCAAGGAGAGGAGAGUUACUACUAUUGACUAGCUUCUUCUGAAGGACAGGGACAUAUGAGAUCGGGCCUCUAGAAGCAGCAGCUUCUUUCUAGAAGGAUGGGGAAAGAGCUUGAAAUUGUUUAGGCAAAGGGAAUAGCAUAACCAAUGCCAUGGAAGUGUGAAGAAAAAUCUAGCAUGUCCAGGCAUUAUUAGCAGGCGAAGACCCACAUUUCUCCAUUAAACGUGAGAAAACUGAUUACUGAUGAAAGGCAACAAGUUGGGAAAAUUGCCACUAAUUUCUAUUUGCAAAAGGAACUUCAAGAUGAUUCUCAAACUUCAAUUUGCAUGGUGGAAUUUGAUGUGAACCUCAGGGUGGUACCACUCCCAACUCCCCUACCGUGGUUAAAACUGACCAAGUCCCAUCCACGAUCAACAGCCAAGGGGGAAUUACCAGGAAAAGACCAAUAACACCAGAGCUGGAAACGGGACCUUAGAGCUUAAGUUGAGUGCAUGGCUUGUGGAAGUCAGAAGAAAUGCGGUUACUGUCUUCUUUCAAGAUAAUCUGUCAUCCGAGAUGUCAUGGAGCUGGAUCUGACCCAUUCAUUUAAUAUUUAUUGGUGAUGUCAGCAAUACACACUUCAAGGAAAAUAAAAAAUGGGAAAUAAAAAAUGUCCCA